Small nuclear RNA from Microtus ochrogaster (prairie vole), 107 nucleotides. The record is from Ensembl. Lineage: Eukaryota; Metazoa; Chordata; Mammalia; Rodentia; Cricetidae.
GGGCUCGCUUUGGCAGCACAUGUACUAAAAUUAGAAUGAUAAAGAGAAGAUUAGUAUGGCCCCUGCACAACGAUGCCAUGCAAGUUAAUGAAGUGUUCCUUAUUUUU